RNAcentral lists this ribosomal RNA (795 nucleotides) under uncultured bacterium. RNAcentral describes it as "bacterial SSU rRNA". It matches the Rfam family "Bacterial small subunit ribosomal RNA", at positions 8 to 796 of the family's 1533-position model. The record is from RNAcentral.
AGAGUUUGAUCAUGGCUCAGAGUGAACGCUGGCGGCAGGCCUAACACAUGCAAGUCGAGCGGCAGCACGGGUAGCAAUACCUGGUGGCGAGCGGCGGACGGGUGAGGAAUACAUCGGUAUCUGCCUCGUCGUGGGGGAUAACGUAGGGAAACUUACGCUAAUACCGCAUACGACCGAGAGGUGAAAGCGGGGGAUCGAAAGACCUCGCGCGAUGAGAUGAGCCGAUGUCGGAUUAGCUAGUUGGCGGGGUAAGAGCCCACCAAGGCGACGAUCCGUAGCUGGUCUGAGAGGAUGAUCAGCCACACUGGAACUGAGACACGGUCCAGACUCCUACGGGAGGCAGCAGUGGGGAAUAUUGGACAAUGGGCGCAAGCCUGAUCCAGCCAUGCCGCGUGGGUGAAGAAGGCCUUCGGGUUGUAAAGCCCUUUUGUCCGGGACGAAAUCGUACGGGUGAAUAUUCCGUGCGGAUGACGGUACCGGAAGAAUAAGCACCGGCUAACUUCGUGCCAGCAGCCGCGGUAAUACGAAGGGUGCAAGCGUUACUCGGAAUUACUGGGCGUAAAGCGUGCGUAGGCGGUUUGUUAAGUCCGCUGUGAAAGCCCUGGGCUCAACCUGGGAAUUGCAGUGGAUACUGGCAAGCUAGAGUGCGGUAGAGGAUGGUGGAAUUCCCGGUGUAGCGGUGAAAUGCGUAGAGAUCGGGAGGAACACCCGUGGCGAAGGCGGCCAUCUGGACCAGCACUGACGCUGAGGCACGAAAGCGUGGGGAGCAAACAGGAUUAGAUACCCUAGUAGUCC